This 1096-nucleotide long non-coding RNA is filed under the name Numida meleagris (helmeted guineafowl). RNAcentral's name for it is "lncRNA (ENSNMEG00000017475.1)". The record is from RNAcentral. Lineage: Eukaryota; Metazoa; Chordata; Aves; Galliformes; Numididae.
UACUGGGAAGGCAUGCCUUCCUAAUAAUUUCCAAAUAAAGCAUUACCUUUUUCCACGAUGAGGCAACACACAGGGCCCGUGCUUUACAGGCCAUGAUUUCAACUCUCCAGCAAUUCACUACUCCAGAAUCCGUUUUAUAUACUUUCCCAGAAGUUUGCUUGCCCACCUUCAUCUGAAGUGUGGACAUUUUGCAAAGUGUCACCAUUAAGGAAGUUUCUAGCAACAUUUUUCUACUUCGUGGUUCUAUGUUUCAGGGGGUGCACCACAGGCCUGUGGUAUCAAACCACUAAAGCAGAAAAUCACAAGAUAAUGAAUGAUUCUGUAAAAAUCUUGUUAGGAAUGCUACCAUGUCAGUGGCAUUUCCUACCUGUGCAGUGCUUUAAUUCAGGGAAGUGGAUCUGUGAUGGGAGAAAAGCAUCCUGGUACUUUGGCACAGAGAGGACUGCAAGUAUGCACAGAGGAGGAGCAGAGCUGGAAAACUGGAGGUAAAUAAAUUGUAGUAAGGCAUAUAAUAACUUUAUGUUAUAUUAUAUAUGAAUAGAUUAUUCGAUAUCAGAAAAUUGCAGGAAACCGAGGACAAGCUACCAGAGAGAAAUAGCAAAUAGAUUUUUGUGAGUUUGAUUCUCUAGAUCAGCUCACUGCAGUCAGAGGAGUGCCAGAACAUCUCCCUUUUGCUACACUCUAUAUCUGCAUUAUAAUAGCUGGAAAAAAUUGGAAAGAGUAAGAUGAGAAAAGAAUCUGUAAAAAAUACAGUAGAAUUGUUGUGAGGAAAGAAGAGCUCCUACACAAAUAACAGUGACCCUGUGCUUUUGUUAUUGCUGUGGGGAUGCGUUUUUGGUUGUUGGUUUUGUUGGUUUUUUUUUUGCCAACAGAAGACAUACCAUAGACAAUUCUGUCAUCUUUGGUUUGGCUUUAGGACUCUGUUUAGCAACACAGAAAUCCCUGGGGUUUGCUGAGCUAUAAUUUCCCCGUCUGGAAUUUGAUGAGGAAAUUGGAUGCAAUUUCACAUGGUUAAGAAGCCAUAGUGAACAACAGGCGAUAUCCUUCAUCUAAGUACCCCACCAGAAAAAUAAAGGAAAUCAAUUCUAUUCUAACA